This 428-nucleotide unclassified non-coding RNA is filed under the name soil metagenome. RNAcentral's name for it is "partial contains 5.8S ribosomal RNA, internal transcribed spacer 2, and large subunit ribosomal RNA". The stretch from base 1 to 120 matches the Rfam family "5.8S ribosomal RNA", at positions 35 to 154 of the family's 154-position model. The record is from RNAcentral.
GAUGAAGAACGUAGCGAAACGCGAUACGUAAUGUGAAUUGCAGAAUUCAGUGAAUCAUCGAAUCUUUGAACGCACCUUGCGCCCCUCGGCAUUCCGAGGGGCAUGCCUGUUUGAGUGUCACGGAUCCUUCGAACCCCGCCGGUCUCCGACGAGCCGGCCGCCUGGGUUCGGUCCUGGGCGCUACGCCACCCCUCCGGGGCUGGCCCGCCUCAAACGCAUCAGCUGGGCCUCGCGGCGUGGGCGGGCGCCGAUCGGCGUGAUAAGUCAUCUGCCGAGAGGGUGCCCGUCCGUCCCGCGGAUCGCGGUCCGCUCCCAACCCCUCCCCGCGCGCCGUCCCCCCCCGGGGAGCGCGCGGGGACGUUUCGACGCUCUGGCCUCAAAUCAGGUAGGACCACCCGCUGAACUUAAGCAUAUCAAUAAGCGGAGGA